GGAGCUGCUCUGUCCUGUGUGUCUUUACAGAUGUGAAUGGUGGGGAAUGGGAUCCAGCUUCCCAGCUGGCUUCCAGGUCAGAAGGUCCGGCAAAUCGCAUGAGUAAGUUGUGGCUUCUUCCUUCCUUUGACAGCUGCCAGCUCAAAGCUCUAAUGUCAGCCAGGCGUGUGUGCAGGCAUGAGAAUCCAGACGUGCCUGUGUGUGCCCUGUCAUUGCAUGAUUCCCUGAUACCACCUGGCCCUCAGUGAUGCCCUUAUGCAGUUGUGUAGAUUGCAGUGUAUGAUGGAAAGUUCUCGUGGUUCUUUGGUUGCAGAAGUGCCUCCAGGGAGGGCCUUGCCAAGUCGUCGGCUGGAGUCCCGCUGGCACCCCAGGGGUCCUGAGAGAUGGAAAGAGGAAUUGAAAAGAGGAAAAUACUCCCCCGUCCUAAAGGAAAUCAAGACGGAUUUUGAGAAGGCAGCUCCUGGUGUGACUGGAGGUGAAGAUGAUCCAGCUUCCCCUCUGAGUUCCGGGACUGAAACUGCGGCAGAUCACGUGGAAGUGCCCCCAGGGAGGGCCUUGCCGCGUCCUCGGCUCCUUCCUGUGCUGGAGCCCAGCUGGAAUCCCAGGGGUGAGUAGUUAGUCUUUUCUGAUU
RNAcentral lists this long non-coding RNA (631 nucleotides) under Numida meleagris (helmeted guineafowl). RNAcentral describes it as "lncRNA (ENSNMEG00000002213.1)". Lineage: Eukaryota; Metazoa; Chordata; Aves; Galliformes; Numididae. The record is from RNAcentral.